Molecule: ribosomal RNA, 414 nt
Filed under: uncultured bacterium
Lineage: Bacteria
Description: bacterial SSU rRNA
Rfam family: Bacterial small subunit ribosomal RNA
Source: RNAcentral
GGGGGAAUAUUGCACAAUGGGGGAAACCCUGAUGCAGCAACGCCGCGUGAAGGAAGACGGUUUUCGGAUUGUAAACUUCUGUUCUUAGUGAAGAAUAAUGACGGUAGCUAAGGAGCAAGCCACGGCUAACUACGUGCCAGCAGCCGCGGUAAUACGUAGGUGGCAAGCGUUGUCCGGAAUUACUGGGUGUAAAGGGAGCGUAGGCGGGAAGCCAAGUCAGCUGUGAAAACUACGGGCUUAACUUGUAGACUGCAGUUGAAACUGGUUUUCUUGAGUGAAGUAGAGGUUGGCGGAAUUCCGAGUGUAGCGGUGAAAUGCGUAGAUAUUCGGAGGAACACCGGUGGCGAAGGCGGCCAACUGGGCUUUAACUGACGCUGAGGCUCGAAAGUGUGGGAGCAAACAGGAUUAGAUACC